AAGUGUCCAAAAUUCCUGGGCCUGAAAGUGCUGCUCAGCAGUGACAGAAAAAAACGGGUAAACCAAGCCCCAAAUGUCUUCUGCCAAAAGGUCCUGAAUCUUUUAAUGCUGAUUAUAAGCUUCAUGAUCAAGAUGGCAUCAAUAGCAAUGUUGUCACAGGAAUCCGCACAGCUGAUGGCAAAGAGGUCACCAUCAAGCGUGUGGAGUUGGAUGACAAAGACGUUAUUCAUUAU
Long non-coding RNA from Paramisgurnus dabryanus, 233 nucleotides. RefSeq lists it as uncharacterized. NCBI's taxonomy places the organism in Eukaryota, Metazoa, Chordata, Actinopteri, Cypriniformes, Cobitidae. The record is from RefSeq and is a predicted model, not a curated record.